CCAUCCUCACUGCCUCAGCCUUCUGAGUAGCUGAGACUACAGACCUACAGUUGUUUAACGUCACCACCGGAUCUGGGAAAAAUGGCUUAUGGGCAGUUUCACGUCAUAAAAUCUUCCUGCUAUUAUUAAACAGAAAAAAACGCCCGUGAGCUCAAAGAAGGAGAGUGCUGUUCAUGAGGUUGGAGGCAUUUUGCAAUGGUUGUUGUGGAAGAUAAAGCGCAGCCUGGCAUAUGCUCUUUCAAAGGAAGUUCUCAGGAAUAUCCUGUAUAUGGCACCAGACCUCAGACAAUUCAGGCCUCUUUCUUGAUCCAGGAGAGAAUCAACUCUGAUAAGAAACAUCUACAAUCUUUUCUCUCUGAAGCCUGCUACCUGGAAGCUUCUUUUGUGUAAGGGGAACCAUUUAGGGGUCUCCACAACCCCUUAUCUUAACCCAGACAUUCCCUUCUAUUGAUUCUAGAUUUUUAGAUAAUAACCUCUUUCUACCAAUUGCCAAUCAGAAAGUCUUUGAAUCCCCCUGUGACCUGAAAGCCCCACCUUGCUUUGAGUUGUCCUGUCUUUCCAGACCAAAUCAGUGUACAUACUACGUGCAUUGAUUGAUGUCAUAUGUUCUCCUAAAAUGUUUGAAACCAAGCUGUAGCCCGACCACCUUGGGCAUAUGUCCUCAGGAUCUCCUAAGGGCUGUGUGACAGGCUAUUGAUCACUCAUAUUUGGCUCAGAAUAA
This is a long non-coding RNA of Cercocebus atys (sooty mangabey), 721 nucleotides long. RefSeq lists it as uncharacterized. Lineage: Eukaryota; Metazoa; Chordata; Mammalia; Primates; Cercopithecidae. The transcript has 4 exons. The record is from RefSeq and is a predicted model, not a curated record.